Molecule: ribosomal RNA, 403 nt
Filed under: uncultured bacterium
Lineage: Bacteria
Description: partial 16S ribosomal RNA
Rfam family: Bacterial small subunit ribosomal RNA
Source: RNAcentral
AUUGAACGCUGGCGGCAGGCCUAACACAUGCAAGUCGAGCGAGCGGCGGACGGGUGAGUAAUGUAUGGGGACUGCCCGAUAGAGGGGGAUAACUACUGGAAACGGUGGCUAAUACCGCAUACUAUCGGAUAACCCAUAUGGGAUUAGCUAGGAGGUGGGGUAAAGGCUCACCUAGGCGACGAUCUCUAGCUGGUCUGAGAGGCUGAUAAGCCAAACUGGGAAGGAGACCAGGCCCAGACUCCGACGGCGGCAGCAGUUGGGAAUAUUGCACAAUGGGCGCAAGCCCGAUGCAGCCAUGCCGCGUGUAUUAAGAAGGUCUUACGGUUGUAAAGGACUUUCCGCGGGGAGGCGUUACCCGCAGAAGUAGCACCGGCUAACUCCGUGCCAGCAGCCGCGGUAAUUC